Molecule: long non-coding RNA, 1773 nt
Filed under: Daphnia magna
Lineage: Eukaryota; Metazoa; Arthropoda; Branchiopoda; Diplostraca; Daphniidae
Description: uncharacterized LOC116917951
Source: RNAcentral
AAAACCCACAUCACCCAAGAGCAAUCAGAAUGCCAAAGUACAUUUUCCACUGACUGAUGUAACGUUCCAGGGAAAACCCAGGCACGUUGAAAAUUCCUUGAAUUUAUUCGUGCCCCUAGUCUUCUGAUCUUUAAAUCCCCGCCUUAACAGAGUCCCUCCGCUUACUCAAUGGUUGAAUGGGCAACGCAAGGCCUCGUCAAAUUUUAAAAAUGUAUAGUAACAUCACAGGAUGGUGAUUUCCAUGUUUGUUUGUUUUUUUACAGCAGCUGCUUCACUCUCUGAUAAUUCCGCUAUUUCAUGUGUAUUGCGUAUACAUUUUUAUAUUGAAGUCUUUUCCCUUUAACCAAUUGCGUUUUGGUUGUGUGACCUCCCGAAAGAAGCGACAACCGUGCACUGAACGCAGCUUUACAAUGGGAUCGUAAAUCACAAGACCAACGCUGUUUUUUUUUCUCUUUUUCUAGGGCUCUCUUUGCAUGUGUGUACGUGCCUCUUAAUGUUUUAUGCCGUCGCGUGUCUCGAGCGGAUUCUUCAUCAAACCGUCGUGACGGAACAACUGAAAAUUUGGACGAGCCAUCCAGUGCGGAUGGUACAUGCUGCGCCAAAUCUCGUUAAUUUUGCCUUUCUUUUUAUAUAUCCCUUUCCGACUAAUUUGUACGAUUUAUUGCUGCAAUGCUUUAAUGUGAAGAAAUUCAUUCUCUUUGCCUUAAUGUUUGCCCCAUAAAAUUGUUAAAUAUCUAGCGUGUUUUUUGUUCAUUGUUCGACGUCUAGUCGUAAGAGCGCGCACUGCCACUCCCACGCGCAACAGAACUCAUUUGCUUGUGUUCUUUUAAAUGGUUUUCUCUAGUCUCCUCCUCAUUUUGAAAUAUUCCAUCCACUUUCCACUAUUUUGCGUGUCUCGUCGUGUACAUGUUGUAGACGUAAAUAUUGUUGGAAUAAUGCGCGGUUAUGGAAAACAGGUGCGGUGCCGGUCGUUGCCGGCCUUGGUCUCGAAAAGAGUCGUCCGUUGCACGGCAACUUAUUUUUUUUUCCCAUUUUUUUUAGGGGAGAAGAAGAAAAGAAAAAGAAAAAUCCAAAUUCAGCCAGUUGAAACGUUGAAUCAGCUCAGCGUCGACUUGUAAAACGAGUUGACGCGCGUCGGAAGACGAGUUUCGACAUCCAACACGGCUGACUUAUUUGCCCGUGUUGGCUCUAUGCAAUGGCCCUGACGCCGAACGGAUCCGUGAGAGUAUUAGCACGGCACGCACGGCCGCUUCUUAUUGGCGUUCAUUCCGACUAUACACAAGCGCAAUACACAUAAAAAUGCUGCGGAUACGCGCCUACUCCGCCGACUGUUCCGCCAAGACAGGCAUAUAGAAGAUGGACCAGUUCUCUCCCGACACCUGCUCGCUUGAAGGAAAGGGAAAUCAACGUGUUGGACACACACACACACAAGCGUUACUCAUUUUUGGUGAAUCAUGAUCUUUUUUUUUUUUUUGCGGCUGGAGAAAACGGUAAACGUCAUGGAUACAGCGACCGUCCUUGCCUAAUGUGUUUCGACCUAGAAAUGGCUAAAAAAACAAGAAAUUCCACGCAAUUGAUGAGCCUUUACGAGCUUGAAUGUUUACGAUGGUAAGGGCUGAUGAUAUUCAACAGCAGCAAACGAACCGUUGUGAAAAUGUGGAUCUUUUAAACAUCGCGAUUUCCCUUGGCCUUCGCUUCCAUCGCUUAAUGCAUUCGUUUAGAUUUUACAUGAUGAUACAUCUUCUUCAGAUAUACACGUUUAUUUGAAAUUGA